GGUGGGAUCGCAUAGUGGUCUAGUGCGCGCGCUUGGAAAGCGCGUAUAGAUGAAAGUCUAUCGUGGGUUCAAAUCCCACUCCCACCG
Molecule: transfer RNA, 87 nt
Filed under: bacterium
Lineage: Bacteria
Description: tRNA-Ser
Rfam family: tRNA
About the family: Transfer RNA (tRNA) molecules are approximately 80 nucleotides in length. Their secondary structure includes four short double-helical elements and three loops (D, anti-codon, and T loops). Further hydrogen bonds mediate the characteristic L-shaped molecular structure. tRNAs have two regions of fundamental functional importance: the anti-codon, which is responsible for specific mRNA codon recognition, and the 3' end, to which the tRNAs corresponding amino acid is attached (by aminoacyl-tRNA synthetases). tRNAs cope with the degeneracy of the genetic code in two manners: having more than one tRNA (with a specific anti-codon) for a particular amino acid; and 'wobble' base-pairing, i.e. permitting non-standard base-pairing at the 3rd anti-codon position.
Source: RNAcentral